Molecule: long non-coding RNA, 1103 nt
Organism: Benincasa hispida (wax gourd)
Lineage: Eukaryota; Viridiplantae; Streptophyta; Magnoliopsida; Cucurbitales; Cucurbitaceae
Source: RefSeq, a predicted model, not a curated record
CUCAUUGUAAACUCUCUCCCCUCUUUCUUUCCUUUCUUGGAACUACUAGAAAGCUUAUAGAUUGAGAUCAAACUUGUGAACUCGAUAUAUCUACUUGAAAAUCAAAGAAAUUGAAGUUGACAACUUCUUCGAGGAAAGAGGAAUUUGUAAAGGCUCGACGAAUAAUUUAAGGGUACAUUUGUGGGUGAAUUAGGGUUCCAAUUGUAAUUUUGGAAUGUUUAGGCUUGUUGGGCUUAGCUGAAGUCAAGGAGGAGGUGUAAACCCGAGAGAGAGAGAAGAGGGAAAUUGAUGGGUUUUCUUUUGACAAAUUUGAGUUGUCUUCAUCAAAUUUUGUGAUUGGGUUAGAAAAAGGUUGAAGAUUAAUCAGCUAGGGAUGUAGGAGAUUCGAAGUAUGGGGUAGCUAUCAGAGAGGAAGCUAGAAUUUGGUGUUUUGGGUGUUUGCCGGUUUUAAAAAGGGAAGAAAAGGGAAUUUGGUUUAAGGGAAUUUAGUGAGGAAAAAACGAGAAAAACUAAAUGAGGGUUGAAGAAGAAGCUCGAGGAGGUCUGCACCUAAGGAUCGUGGCCAGAGAAGCAAGGAAAAAGAAAGAAAAGGGGUUGCCGGUGUUGGACAGAAAAACAGGGGCUGCUUGGUUUAAGGCAAAUUCGUAGAGUUAGAGGCUAAUUUGAAGCUCCCAAUUUGAAGGGGUACCGAGGAGUGUUUAGCUGAUUUCGGGAGUUCUAGAGCAAAUUGGACGUUGAAACUUUGCGGUAAAAUACAAACAACAAAGCAACAACACAACCAAAUACUCUCAAGUUCCAAAUCAAACAAGGAGGAAAGAGAACGUGAAACAUCUUUCCAGAUCAAAGAAUAACUUUUGAGAGGAGGUUAAAGCAGCAAUGGAAUGAGCAACUUUGCUCACUUUUCAAAAGAUGUGAACCGUGAUGGUGUUGACAUUCAACAUGCGAAAGUAAUUUGGAUCUUAGGUAUUCUAACUACAUCAAUUUUAGUGAUUAAGCAUGCAUGACCAUUGUUCUAGAAAUUAGGGUUUAGAAAGACAAUUUUUGAAGAAAUCCCAAGUUGCUCCAAUCUACUGAUGUUAUCAACUCACGAGCUAGUUGUAGAC